UACAGAGGGGGCAAGCGUUGUUCGGAAUUACUGGGCGUAAAGGGCGCGUAGGCGGCCUUCUAAGUCGAACGUGAAAUCCCCGGGCUCAACCCGGGAACUGCGUCCGAUACUGGAAGGCUUGAAUCCGGGAGAGGGAUGCGGAAUUCCAGGUGUAGCGGUGAAAUGCGUAGAUAUCAGGAGGAACACCAAUGGCGAAGGCAGCACUCUGGGACGGUACUGACACUCAAGUGCGAAAGCGUGGGGAGCAAACAGG
RNAcentral lists this ribosomal RNA (253 nucleotides) under uncultured bacterium. RNAcentral describes it as "partial 16S ribosomal RNA". It matches the Rfam family "Bacterial small subunit ribosomal RNA", at positions 524 to 776 of the family's 1533-position model. The record is from RNAcentral.